Molecule: non-coding RNA, 111 nt
Filed under: Nocardia seriolae
Lineage: Bacteria; Bacillati; Actinomycetota; Actinomycetes; Mycobacteriales; Nocardiaceae
Description: Magnesium sequence
Rfam family: M-box riboswitch aptamer (ykoK leader)
About the family: M-box riboswitch, also know as ykoK leader is described as a metaloregulatory RNA that sense divalent metals and function as a genetic control element of genes related to divalent metal transport in bacteria.
Source: Rfam by way of RNAcentral
UGUCGUUGCAGUAUUAGGACAGAUCACUCCGGAUUAAGGGGUGAUCCGAAGUGGCUUCCGCGCAAGCGGAUACGUCGUGCAGUGCCGAAGCUCUGACGAGAGGGGUGCCCG